This is a long non-coding RNA of Myripristis murdjan (pinecone soldierfish), 166 nucleotides long. RefSeq lists it as uncharacterized. The record is from RefSeq and is a predicted model, not a curated record. Lineage: Eukaryota; Metazoa; Chordata; Actinopteri; Holocentriformes; Holocentridae. The transcript has 3 exons.
CAGGGACACACACAUCCACGUCCCAGAUGAUUUCUUCAUGGUUCCCCCUAACCCUGCUGUUCCUGUCGCCAUCGGCUUGUUUGUUGUCUUCCUGUGUGUUGUUGCUGUUGUCUUUGUUGUGUGGAAAUGGAGACGGAACAAAACAAAGAGACAGAGGGAGGAGAAC